This 422-nucleotide ribosomal RNA is filed under the name uncultured bacterium. RNAcentral's name for it is "bacterial SSU rRNA". It matches the Rfam family "Bacterial small subunit ribosomal RNA", at positions 358 to 772 of the family's 1533-position model. The record is from RNAcentral.
GGAAUAUUGGACAAUGGGCGCAAGCCUGAUCCAGCCAUGCCGCGUGUGUGAAGACGGCCUUCGGGUUGUAAAGCACUUUCAGCGGGGAGGAAGGGUGUUGUGUUAAUAGCACAGCAUUUUGACGUUACCCGCAGAAGAAGCACCGGCUAACUCCGUGCCAGCAGCCGCGGUAAUACGGGGGGGGCAAGCGUUGUUCGGAAUUACUGGGCGUAAAGGGUUCGUAGGUGGCCAACUAAGUCAGACGUGAAAUCCCUCAGCUUAACUGGGGAACUGCGUCUGAGACUGGUUGGCUCGAGUGCAGGAGAGGAACGCGGAAUUCCAGGUGUAGCGGUGAAAUGCGUAGAUAUCUGGAGGAACACCGGUGGCGAAGGCAGCGUUCUGGACUGCAACUGACACUGAUGAACGAAAGCCAGGGGAGCAAA